UAUAUCGGAACGUGCCCUAGAGUGGGGGAUAACGUAGCGAAAGUUACGCUAAUACCGCAUACGAUCUACGGAUGAAAGCGGGGGAUUCGCAAGAACCUCGCGCUCCUGGAGCGGCCGAUAUCUGAUUAGCUAGUUGGUAGGGUAAAGGCUCACCAAGGCGACGAUCAGUAGCUGGUCUGAGAGGACGACCUGCCACACUGGAACUGAGACACGGUCCAG
RNAcentral lists this ribosomal RNA (219 nucleotides) under uncultured bacterium. Its description in RNAcentral is "partial 16S ribosomal RNA". It matches the Rfam family "Bacterial small subunit ribosomal RNA", at positions 114 to 334 of the family's 1533-position model. The record is from RNAcentral.